CCCUUAGACGUUCUGGGCCGCACGCGCGCUACACUGACGAAGGCAACGAGCUUUCCUUUACCGAAAGGUACGGGUAAUCUUUUGAAACUUCGUCGCGCUGGGGAUAGAUCCUUGCAAUUUUUGAUCUUAAACGAGGAAUGCCUAGUAAGCGCAAGUCAUCAACUUGCGUUGAUUACGUCCCUGCCCUUUGUACACACCGCCCGUCGCUACUACCGAUUGAAUGGUUUAGUGAGGCCUUCGGAUCCGCGACUCGUUUUGUGGAGAAGUUGGACAAACUCAGUCAUUUAGAGGAAGUAAAAGUCGUAACA
This 308-nucleotide ribosomal RNA is filed under the name uncultured eukaryote. RNAcentral's name for it is "partial 18S ribosomal RNA". It matches the Rfam family "Eukaryotic small subunit ribosomal RNA", at positions 1470 to 1796 of the family's 1831-position model. The record is from RNAcentral.